GGGCUUGUGGUAUAGUGGUAUUAUACUUGGCUGGCAGUCAAGGGAUCUGAGUUCGAUUCUCAGCAAGUCCA
Molecule: transfer RNA, 71 nt
Filed under: Candidatus Pacearchaeota archaeon
Lineage: Archaea; Nanobdellati
Description: tRNA-Ala
Rfam family: tRNA
About the family: Transfer RNA (tRNA) molecules are approximately 80 nucleotides in length.
Source: RNAcentral